GGAGGGAAAGCAGUGGAGUUUAAACUCGGGGCUUUACUGUUCAAAUACAGGAGGUCGCACCGCUUGGUGUCCCCUUGAAGACCAAAAUGAAAGAAUUUAGAUCGCUAUUAUUGUCUCUAUUAUUACUAUCUCUAUCAUGCACUCGCAUGCAUGAUAAUAUUAUCUUUAUUUAUUAUCGAUUAAAAAAAGUAAAUUAUACUCCCU
RNAcentral lists this long non-coding RNA (204 nucleotides) under Salvia miltiorrhiza (redroot sage). RNAcentral's name for it is "long non-coding RNA (SMIL_LNC002490)". Lineage: Eukaryota; Viridiplantae; Streptophyta; Magnoliopsida; Lamiales; Lamiaceae. The record is from RNAcentral.